CGGCAAUAGCUCAAAUUUGAAAUCUGGCCCUUUUAGGGUCCGAGUUGUAAUUUGCAGAGGGCGCUUUGGCAUUGGCAGCGGUCCAAGUUCCUUGGAACAGGACGUCACAGAGGGUGAGAAUCCCGUACGUGGUCGCUAUCCUUUGCUGUGUAAAGCCCCUUCGACGAGUCGAGUUGUUUGGGAAUGCAGCUCUAAAUGGGAGGUAAAUUUCUUCUAAAGCUAAAUACUGGCCAGAGACCGAUAGCGCACAAGUAGAGUGAUCGAAAGAUGAAAAGCACUUUGGAAAGAGAGUCAAAUAGCACGUGAAAUUGUUGAAAGGGAAGCGCUUGCAGCCAGACUUGCCUGUAGUUGCUUAUCUGGACUUUUGUCCAGUGCACUCUUCUGCAGGCAGGCCAGCAUCAGUUUGGGCGGUUGGAUAAAGGUCUCUGUCAUGUACCUCUUUUCGGGGAGGCCUUAUAGGGGAGACGACAUGCAACCAGCCCAGACUGAGGUCCGCGCAUCUGCUAGGAUGCUGGCGUAAUGGCUGUAAGCGGCCCGUCUUGAAACACGGACCAAGGAGUCUAACAUCUAUGCGAGUGUUUGGGUGUCAAGCCCAGACGCGUAAUGAAAGUGAACGGAGGUGGGAACCCUUUGGGUGCACCAUCGACCGAUCCUGAUGUCUUCGGAAGGAUUUGAGUAAGAGCAUGGCUGUUGGGACCCGAAAGAUGGUGAACUAUGCUUGAAUAGGGUGAAGCCAGAGGAAACUCUGGUGGAGGCUCGCAGCGGUUCUGACGUGCAAAUCGAUCGUCAAAUUUGGGCAUAGGGGCGAAAGACUAAUCGAACUAUCUAGUAGCUGGUUCCUGCCGAAGUUUCCCUCAGGAUAGCAGUAACGUAUUCAGUUUUAUGAGGUAAAGCGAAUGAUUAGAGGCCUGGGGGUUGAAACAACCUUCACCUAUUCUCAAACUUUAAAUAUGUAAGAAGUCCUUGUUACUUGAUUGAACGUGGACAUUUGAAUGUACCGUUACUAGUGGGCCAUUUUUGGUAAGCAGAACUGGCGAUGCGGGAUGAACCGAACGCGGGGUUAAGGUGCCAGAAUAUACGCUCAUCAGACACCACAAAAGGUGUUAGUUCAUCUAGACAGCAGGACGGUGGCCAUGGAAGUCGGAAUCCGCUAAGGAGUGUGUAACAACUCACCUGCCGAAUGAACUAGCCCUGAAAAUGGAUGGCGCUCAAGCGUAUUACCCAUACCCCGCCGCCAGGGCAGAAUUUAU
This 1250-nucleotide ribosomal RNA is filed under the name Phaeosphaeriopsis sp. RNAcentral's name for it is "LSU rRNA". It matches the Rfam family "Eukaryotic large subunit ribosomal RNA", at positions 99 to 1370 of the family's 3401-position model. Lineage: Eukaryota; Fungi; Ascomycota; Dothideomycetes; Pleosporales; Phaeosphaeriaceae. The record is from RNAcentral.